AUAAUGACUCUCGGCAACGGAUAUCUCGGCUCUCGCAUCAAUGAAGAAUGUAGCGAAAUGCGAUAGUUGGUUUGAAUUGUAGAAUCCCGUGAACCAUCGAGUCUUUGAACGCAAGUUGCGCCCUAAGCCAUUAGGCUGAGGGUACGUCUGCCUGGGUGUCACGC
Molecule: ribosomal RNA, 164 nt
Filed under: Toxicodendron sylvestre
Lineage: Eukaryota; Viridiplantae; Streptophyta; Magnoliopsida; Sapindales; Anacardiaceae
Description: 5.8S ribosomal RNA
Rfam family: 5.8S ribosomal RNA
About the family: 5.8S ribosomal RNA (5.8S rRNA) is a component of the large subunit of the eukaryotic ribosome. It is transcribed by RNA polymerase I as part of the 45S precursor that also contains 18S and 28S rRNA.
Source: RNAcentral